GUGCUCUCUUCGGCAGCACAUAUACUCAAAUUGGAACGAUACAGGGAAGAUUAGCAUGGUCCCUGCGCAAGGAUUAUAAAUGUUAUUUUGACUCCCCCUGUGGUG
Suncus etruscus (white-toothed pygmy shrew) is the source of this 105-nucleotide small nuclear RNA. The record is from RefSeq and is a predicted model, not a curated record. NCBI's taxonomy places the organism in Eukaryota, Metazoa, Chordata, Mammalia, Eulipotyphla, Soricidae.